UACGUAGGUGGCGAGCGUUGUCCGGAUUUACUGGGCGUAAAGGGAGCGUAGGCGGACUUUCAAGUGAGAUGUGAAAUACUCGGGCUCAACUUGAGUGCUGCAUUUCAAACUGGAAGACUAGAGUGCAGGAGAGGAGAAUGGAAUUCCUAGUGUAGCGGUGAAAUGCGUAGAGAUUAGGAAGAACACCAGUGGCGAAGGCGAUUCUCUGGACUGUAACUGACGCUGAGGCUCGAAAGCGUGGGGAGCAAACAGG
RNAcentral lists this ribosomal RNA (253 nucleotides) under uncultured bacterium. Its description in RNAcentral is "partial 16S ribosomal RNA". It matches the Rfam family "Bacterial small subunit ribosomal RNA", at positions 524 to 776 of the family's 1533-position model. The record is from RNAcentral.